This is a long non-coding RNA of Ctenopharyngodon idella (grass carp), 5855 nucleotides long. RefSeq lists it as uncharacterized. The record is from RefSeq and is a predicted model, not a curated record. The transcript is spliced from 4 exons. NCBI's taxonomy places the organism in Eukaryota, Metazoa, Chordata, Actinopteri, Cypriniformes, Xenocyprididae.
AAACUACUAAAUGUUUUCGGCACGGACACACCAGGGCCGUAUAACCACCAUAUACAAUGAGGUGGAAAAGAGUUUGUGUGUGUGUUGUUAAGAGAAGUGCCUAUGACUUUGAGAGGUUUGUGUAGCCUAUUCCAUGCGGUAUGCCUUUUAAUGUCUACUUCUUGUUUUUGAGGGAACACAUUUCUCUCUGUAACAAAGUGGGUGGUGAGCAAAGGGGGUCUACGUUUUGGAGCAGCAUCUAGGUUUGCAUUGGGUAUGUAUUCUUUGGCUGGAUAUAUCUUUCCCAUUACAUUUUCUGUUGCCUAAAGAUUCUUUGUGGAGAUAAAUCCGGAUGAUACAAAGUCGUAGGACAAAAUUGUGAAGAUGCACUGCAGCCUUACUGUGUAUUUUUAAGCGCUUGUUUUUGUUUGUUUGUUUGUUUUUUCCCACCAAAACAUUCCAGUCUGCAGAAGUUCUUUGGGAAAAUACAGUUAUACUGUAUAUAGGCUAUACAAUGUUUUAAAUAAAGAAUUUAAUAUCUUGUAAUAAUUGUAUCUGUCAGUAGUAGGCUACUUCCGUAGGAUAAAAUAAAAAUGAAUUUAUAUAAAAAUUAUAAAAUCAAUAAUUUAUAUUUAGUUCACAUGAAUGAAUUAACUUUGAAAUGCCUAACAGUGUAUUCAGCCCCGUGUAAUGUGGGAAGUGGAAAUCCUGUUCUUAGUUUCUAUGCUAUUUUAACACAACAAAAAUCAUUAAUGUAGUCUCCAUCCGAAUAGAAUAGAGUAGGCUAAAUUGGUUGAACAUAAUAAAGAUAAAUUGUGACAGCAUCCUGAAAGAUAUAAUUUAAAAAAAAUAACUUAACUUGCUUAGUGUAUUAAUGUGUGUUUAGGUUCAUUUUUUGAGUGUUUAGCAUGUCGGUGCAUGUUGUGGGAGUGAACGUGUGUACUCUGAUUCUUCUUUCUUUUUUUUUUUUUGCAGAAAGAAACAAGUAGUCUAGUACAAUAAGGCAGUAGGCUACAGAAUCUUAAGAAAAUGCAAUAGAACAGAACACAACAAAAAAUAAAAGCAAAACGAGAGAGAGGAAGGAAAGAAAAAAGAAAGAGAGAAAUAAAUUACACAUCAGGGUCUUCUAGUUUAAAUUUUCUCAAUAGACUACUCUGUUUCAGGGGUGCGUUUCCUGAAAGCGUCGUUACCCAAAUAUGGUUUCAAUUUCCGUCGAUAGCAGCAUAGUUCAACGAGUCUGUGUUCCCGAAAACAUAAUUCCUACGAACAUUCCCAAACUGGGGUGCGUUUCCCGAAAGCAUCGUUAGCUGACUAUGGUCUCAAGUUCCGUCGUUAUCAGCGUAGUUUAACAAGUCGGUGUCUCCCGAAAACAUAGUUCCAAAACGAGCAUUCCCAAACUGCAUCGCAAACUUGUGUGGUUGGAACUACAGCUCUCGACAUGUGGUUAGAAUCAUAGUUUCUUUUUUGCAUGACAUGUGGACUUAAUAAAUCCUUAUUUUGAGCAAAAUAAGCAAGCUGACAUUCAGUACAAUCUAUUUUAUUUCAAAUAUAACAAAAUUAUUUUACCAUGUUUAUUUUGUUCAAGCUAAGGAUUUAUUAAGCCCAGGUGUCAUGCAAACAAGAAAUUAUAUGCUUGUAACCACAGGUCGAGAGCUAUCGUUCCUUCCAAACACACAACUUUACGAUGCUCUUUGGGAAUGUUCCUUGUUUUCGGGAACACACACUCCUUGAACUAUGCUGCUAACGACGGAACUUGCGACCAUAUUCGGCUAACGAUGCUUACGGGAAACGCACCCCUGAAUCAAAGCAGUCAUGAUCACACCCACAACAUGCACCAACAUGCACCGACAUGCUAAACACGCACGCACUCAAAAAAGGAAGAUAAACACGCACUAAAAAAAUGAAGACAAGACAAAACGAGUUAACAAUUCUUUGACAAAGAUAAUUCUUUGUUGUCACAGUUUAUCUUUAUCAUGUUCAACCAAUUAAGGCUACUUAAUACAUUCAGGUUGAGAUUAUACGAAUGAUUUUUGUUGCUUUAAAUAGCAUAGAAACUAUAGGAACAGGAUUUCCACUUCCCACUUUGCAUGGGGCUGGAUACACUGUUAAACAUUUUAUUAUUUUAAUAUUUAAUAUUUUACAGUAGCUAUAACCAUAUUUCAGAUUUACAUAACUACAUGGUAUUGUAAUUAUGUAAUACAAUGCAAUGACUGUAAAAAAGGAAUUGUAUAACUUAAAAUGUAUUUCGCACUGAUGGGAAUUUUGCAGUUCUUAGGAACAACUCUAAUAAUAAAGGCUGUCUGCUUUAGGAUAUUUGAUUCAUUGUUUCCAGAUUUUUUCCAGCUGUGGUGGCAGCUGUGACCUUGGACACCAUGCCCCUUCCCCCUUCCCCCUUUCCCCCUGGUGGUUAAACCUCCCCACCCAAGAAUCACUGGCACUCACACACAAAACAACCAACCAUCUCUGUCAAAACAAAUUUCGGAAGAUAUUUAUUUGCAAAGAUUUAAACUGCCACAGUAAGACAAGCCUAUAUUCCUAAUCUAUGGAAAAAUAAUAAUAAAUUGGGUUAGUGGACAAUUCAGCAGCAAAAGUUAUUCUAGAAAAAUCAUGAGUGCACAAUAAUUUUAUAAAAUAUACAUUUACUUGGGGAAAAAAAAAAAAUUAGGGGAACAAAUAAAAGUUAAAAUGUUCCACAUUGCUCUUUGUAUUGUUAUAAAAUACACUGAAAAACAAGUAUAUAUAGGUAUAUAUAAAAAUGAGGUAUAUAAAAGUAUAUAUAAAAUGAAAAGACAUUUCUUUUAAAUGAAUAGUGCACCUUUUUAAUGAUUCAACAACAUAUUAUAGAUAGGACAGAACAAGUUAUAAUCUUUAUAUAUAGCAAAAGUAUUAUAAUAUGUAAGGCUCCAAUAGAGUGGUGCAGGUUUGACGUCACUUUGUAGGCCAAUCGGCAGUUAGCGUCACACUGGUUCCCUUGACAAAAACCAAUAGGAUUUUCCCAUAGGCUUUUAUAUUAUUGCAAAAACAAGCUCCGUGCUCAACAAAAGUUUAUGAUACUUACACGUUUGGAUCAUCAAGAUCAUUUUCACAGAUGAACACAACUUUUAUGAAUUUUGAAGCCUAAAUGUACAACUUCAACGUCACCAUCACUAAGCUUCUAAAAACUCUUUCAGUUUUUAUCUAAAACACUUUCCCAUAAAGUUUGAGUUAAAAUAGUUUAUAAGAGGACAAUUGUAAGUAUACAGAGGCUGUAAAAGUGGACUCAGCUUACUUGUUUGGCAUGAUGACGUUUAAUCUUCCCGACUGCCUCUGUAGUCCGAUUUAGCCAAUUGUUAGCAACCACCUUUUUCAAGACACUUAACAGCUUCAAAAAGUCACAGGUAGGUUAAUACUGAUGUAUUUUAUGUCAUAGAAUAAAAGAUGAAAGUGUCUUGAGCUUGUGUUUACCACAGACCUUAUUUUAGCCAUUUAAACAAAAUCCCAUUUAAAAAAACCCAUUGACUUCUGCACGAUGGAACCAGAAGUGCUAAAAUGCUAACUCGUUGGCCUACAAAUUGAUGUCGUACCUGCACCACUUUAUAUUCAUGGACGUCACUUCCGCUAUGCUCGUCGCCAUUUUUUGUGUCCGACGAACACAGCACAUUCUAAAUGAGACGAUUUGAGAAAAAAAAAAAUCGUUAUUUGGAAAAAAACAUAUGUUAUCGGUUGUGAUUAGGGGUGUAACGAUUCACUCGUUUUCUCGAUGCAUCGAUUACAAAUCCUGACGAUGCAUAUGCAUCGAUCUUGAAACUUGUUUUUUGAAUCGGUCGAUAAUCGAUGUAAAAUGCUAAGAAUCGGAUUAAUCGCGAUUCUAUAGCGAUUCCGUGGUUUAAAAUAUAUAAACAUUAAAUUACUACAUGCGCGAAUUGAUGGAGACGUUGUGCGCCGUAAUUCGCCCUCACAGCUCUCCUUCACAGACAUGCGCUGCACUCUUUACCGCCUUUCACUGGAUUGCGCUCGCGCUCCGUCCGCAGCUCUCAUCAACAGUUUUGCCACGUUUGAGCUCUCCUCAGGACGGCCACUGCUAUUCAUAUGAGCAAAUGACAGUCUUUAGUCCUGAGUCAAACCGCGGAAGCCAUUGAUUAAGCUGCCAAGUCAUUGCGUGGUCACUAUUGUUGAAAUAAAAUGCUUUCAUUGCGUGGAAAUGUCACCGUUGUUUUUAAUGAGAUAAAAUACUGUAGUUUUACGGAAAUGGGUCAUACCAUUGACAUUACCUGCAGCAGUUUAAGUGAGUAGCAUCUGCCUGCACAACCGGAGACUGCAUUUUCAGGACCGCAUUUCUAGGACCUUACAUUUUAGUGACAACGCCACCUACCGAAUUACAGGACCAGUGACCGCAUGAUUUUCGGAAGAGAUGGACGACAUUCAGAGUGUGAGUAUCAAAUGUAAAUCAAUUUUUAUUUGUUUAACAUUAAAAACAAUUGUGAUGCAUUUAAUUGCAAAGUGAAGUGAUCGUGAGUUGCAAAAUAGUCUUGAAUGCACUUUAUAGCCAUCAUAUAUUAGGUUCUAAUGCUGUAAAACUAAUUGUUAGCAUAUUCGUUUAACAAAACUGUAGCACGACUGGCAAGUGACUAUGGUAUGAUUAAUAAUCCUAGGCAGUACAAUAAACUGUAGCACUUCGUUGUAAAAUCUUGUUAGUUACUCAAUGUUUUUCCAUUUUAAGCAAGUUAAAAUAAUCUUAAUGUUUUAACUGUCACGUGCGUGCUCACUGUCAGCCUGCCCAGGUCAAAAAAUACUACAGUAAAUACUAUAGUGUUUUUGAACCAUACUACAGUAAAUUGUAGUAACUUAUACUGUAUAAAUAAUAGUAUUUACAACACUUUGUUAAUGAAUCCUUCAGCAUACUGUAGUAUACAGUGAACUGAUAAACUGUAAUAAAUACUGUAGUAUACUUUAUUUUUUACUACAGUAAACUGUAGUGUAUAUUGUAUAUACCCUAUAGUUGUAGAAAACUUAGUACAGUAUUGGGUAAAAUAAUUUGAUUAUAUUACUAUAGUUGUUAUGUUACCACAGCAACUAUAGAAUUACCACAACAAAUUAAUUCAAGUACUUUACUAUAGUAUGGGUAAAAAAAACUAUAGUAUUUACUAUAAAUUACUAUAGUAUUUUUUUACCUGGGCAUGUUUACCCUACAAUACAUGUUAUGAGCAUGUCUCUUAAUUUUGACAUUGUUUUUGUAAUGUUGAUUGAGGCAUUUGACAAUUUUAAUAGUCAGACAUAACAGAGUGUACAUAACCACGUGUUAGAUUGUGUCACGUACUGUGUACUCUAUAAGUGAUUUCAGUGCAGGCACUAUAUGACAAAAGAAUAAUAAAUAAAUUGGUCAAGUACUAGGCUUAGGCCUAAUUUAUGUCUAUUUAUUUAUAUGAAAUGAACUUAAAAUGUUUUAUUUGACCAAUUGGACUCUCUCUUUUUCAAGAAACACAUAACAAUCCAAGAAGGAAGAUCCUUUCCUGGACUAUAGAGAUGCACCACAUGUUGCAAGGAGUUCCUCUGCCCGUUCUGCAGUUCUGCUUUGUUUCACCCAACAAAGUUGACCAAAGUGAAAUCCCAUUUGGAGAGCCAUUUCAAAUGCAGUUCUCUAUGAAGACCAUCAUUUAUGGCCUGGCUGGGCUGCAGAAUUUCUCUGUGGGAUGUUGAGAAGGCCUUCUUCUCUGGUCUGGAUUAUCAUCACAUUGAAGUGGAAGAAAAGAGAAAAGAGGGGAGAGCAUCCAUUGGAGUCAGUGAGGACGUUGUCGCUGAAGUUCUUUCUGUGUGGUUCACGUCAUGAACAAAUUUGUUUUUGUGUGUUCAACUGUUGUAAUAUAUUAUUUUAUAAAAUAUACACAAUCUUAAAUCUA